CUUUGGAUGCUCGAAAAUGCAGAUCCCCAGCCGGAGUCUUUAGAUGAACUCGUUGAGUUCUACGCUUGUUAACUGCUCGCUCUCAAGCUCAAGGGUGCAUGGUAAUAUUAAAUUGGUGGCGUGGGGUGGGGUGAUUCUGUGAGGUCACCUGCAUGGUAAGAAAAAAGAAAAUCGCUGUAAAUGAUGUAAUUGUAAUAAUAAUGAUAUGAUUAGCGGUGUACUUAUAGAUGAUAAAAGAUACAUAGUAGAGAGUGGAUGAACGGUGAGGAAUUAACCCAUGUAUUUUUACACCGGCUAAUCGCUAGGCCUGGUGAGAGACCGAGGGAGAUCAAAUCAUUGAUCUAUUGUUCUUAUUUAUUUAUGUAUUCAUUGUUCUUUCUUUUUUCACAUUAAUUAAAUUAAUAUAAUUGUGUGUUCAUUUUUUAUGAUUUUCCUUUAAUUUUUUUUUAGAAACUGUUGUUCUUCAAUAAUUAUUCUAACGAUGUUGCUUUAAGGUGAUGUUGAUACAGCCACUUGGGCUUGUAGCCAAGUGGUGAGCUAUUGCCUUCAAAGUUAAGCAUGACUAUGAGGGCAAUGGUUCGAAUCCUCACGGACUCAACCUCCCUUAAUUAAACAUAAUUGUGUGGAGAUUUCUAAUAACGUUUUUCUCCCUUGCGAAAUACAGGUGGAGUAGAGACAUCCCUUCUCCGUCAGAGGUAUUUGGCUGGGCAUGUACUUCAUAGAAUAAAAAAUGUAAUAAUAUAAGUCUCAUGUAUAUAUUUGAUUGUAAAUAUCAGUGUAAUGACUUACUGUCAUAGCAGUUGUAUAUAUCUCUGUGUAAUACAAUAAUCUGAUAUUUAAUCAAUAAAAAAAAGGUGAUGUUGAUACGGGAGUUGAUGAGUCUUUAUCAGAAACAAAAAUUUACAAAAAAAAUUAUAUUAAAAAAAAGUACAUCAAAUAUUGGGCUCCCCCAAGUUUUACAUUUGUCUUCCAUAAUGAGACAAGCCCUUUUUUCAAGUGAAGACUUUUGAAGUACAAUUUGUAAAGGAAAUUUGCCCCAUAUAAUUUUCCUUUCUACAACCUGCAAGCUUAUGUAAAUCAUAUCAACUUAAAAGAUUCCAAGAUUUGGUAUUUUGGUAAUGAUUAAGUCUCAUUCACACUAAAGAAAACACACAGUCACAUUAUGGCUUUAUUUACAGUGGCAUAUGAUAGUAUAUUUUGUCUUAGUUUAACUCUGCUUUUUAAUAGAAUACAGACGACCAUUUACCUAAAACUAAAAUGAGAAGUUAAAAAGCUCUCAACUUUACCUGUUAGUAUGAAGAUAUACAAAAUCUCCAUGCAAGUGUCAGUGCUUGGUUUUGAUUGUAACGUGACAUCAACCCCAGUGACUUGAGAUAAGUUAUAAAUUAUUUUGUUGUGUACAACAGAAACAGCAAAUCUUUACCAAAAUAUUUUCGCAGUUGUGGGUGCAAAUGGGGCCUCGGUUUAAAAACUACCUUAUCAGUGAAGUAGAAUAAAAAAAACACCAAAUUCUAUUAUAAAACAACUAAAGGGAUUAGUGAUAGAGAAAAUAUGAAAAUGGCGAAUUUUUUCCAGAAAAUUUAAACGCAAGGGUAGCUGAAAAGAGUGCGGACGGACAGCAAGAAGUCAACAAACUGUGGAAGAAACCAAAUUAAACCCUAAUCAGCAAACUUCAAAAGAGAGAUUAGACUAAUUACGAAAUUGAUUUUAUAAUAUUAUUCUUGAUCUAUGUAUGAAUGACAAGUGUAAUAGUUUAGAAUACUAAUGAUUAGGUUGUUAGGGAGAUUCUUCUUUAAUUUUGAAUAAGUCGUCGAGAUAUGCCUACGCACACGCUUUAAACAAUUGUUUAUAUACUUAAGCUAAAUUUUGUUUAAUUUUGUUGUUGGUUAGGCACAACUUUUUAUAAGUGGAGGACACGAAGUUUUGUCAAUGCAAGCAUUAGCACUACCUGAAACGCGGUUACGCGGUGCCAAGCUGCCAAUAUGGCCACCCGUAAAGCUCUGCUGCUCUCCUUUUGCACACCA
This 2024-nucleotide long non-coding RNA is filed under the name Citrus sinensis (sweet orange). RNAcentral's name for it is "long non-coding RNA (CSIN_LNC001611)". Lineage: Eukaryota; Viridiplantae; Streptophyta; Magnoliopsida; Sapindales; Rutaceae. The record is from RNAcentral.